CCCUUAGACGUUCUGGGCCGCACGCGCGCUACACUGACACAGGCAACGAGCUUUCCUUUACCGAAAGGUAUGGGUAGUCUUUUGAAACUGUGUCGUGCUGGGGAUAGAUCCUUGCAAUUUUUGAUCUUAAACGAGGAAUUCCUAGUAAGCGCGAGUCAUCAACUCGCGUUGAUUACGUCCCUGCCCUUUGUACACACCGCCCGUCGCUACUACCGAUUGAAUGGCUUAGUGAGGCCUCAGGAUCCGCGCUUAAUGUGUGGAGAAUUUGGACAAACUACGUCAUUUAGAGGAAGUAAAAGUCGUAACA
RNAcentral lists this ribosomal RNA (307 nucleotides) under uncultured eukaryote. RNAcentral describes it as "partial 18S ribosomal RNA". It matches the Rfam family "Eukaryotic small subunit ribosomal RNA", at positions 1470 to 1796 of the family's 1831-position model. The record is from RNAcentral.